RNAcentral lists this ribosomal RNA (466 nucleotides) under uncultured bacterium. RNAcentral's name for it is "partial 16S ribosomal RNA". It matches the Rfam family "Bacterial small subunit ribosomal RNA", at positions 28 to 507 of the family's 1533-position model. The record is from RNAcentral.
GAUGAACGCUGGCGGCGUGCUUAACACAUGCAAGUCGAACGAUGAAGCCCAGCUUGCUGGGUGGAUUAGUGGCGAACGGGUGAGUAACACGUGAGUAACCUGCCCUUAACUCUGGGAUAAGCCUGGGAAACUGGGUCUAAUACCGGAUAGGAGCGCCUACCGCAUGGUGGGUGUUGGAAAGAUUUAUCGGUUUUGGAUGGACUCGCGGCCUAUCAGCUUGUUGGUGGGGUAAUGGCUCACCAAGGCGACGACGGGUAGCCGGCCUGAGAGGGUGACCGGCCACACUGGGACUGAGACACGGCCCAGACUCCUACGGGAGGCAGCAGUGGGGAAUAUUGCACAAUGGGCGGAAGCCUGAUGCAGCGACGCCGCGUGAGGGAUGACGGCCUUCGGGUUGUAAACCUCUUUCAGUAGGGAAGAAGCGAAAGUGACGGUACCUGCAGAAGAAGCACCGGCUAACUACGUG